UUCUUCUUUGCUAACUUAGAUCAGAGUUUUGUAGUUUUUCUCAUACAGAUCUUGUAUAUAUUGUGUUAGAUUUAUACCUAAGUAUUUCAUUUUUAGG
Mustela erminea (ermine) is the source of this 97-nucleotide long non-coding RNA. RefSeq lists it as uncharacterized. Lineage: Eukaryota; Metazoa; Chordata; Mammalia; Carnivora; Mustelidae. The record is from RefSeq and is a predicted model, not a curated record. The transcript has 3 exons.